UCAAUAAAGUCCAAAGCCACCGUGAUGCUUCAUAGCAUACAAAAAGGCAUACAAAAAGUGUUCACGGAAGGCAGAGUACUUCGUAGGUAAGGUAAUGGAAAGACUGCAAGUAGAUGCUGUAGGAUACGGUGAAACAUGCCAUUUCUGAGAAGCUCAGAAAUGGUAUAGCUUGUGAAGAACGCUAGUACAUCUUGAAGUGUAACGUCUGAAUACAACAUUUUAACAUAAUUAUGUAACGAUAAACUUUGACCUACAAAAGAUGUAGGUAUUCUGUAUUGGCACUGCUACCAACCGAUGAAAAUGACUUCGACUCAAGCAGAUUGAGUAUUGAAUCUUACUUUGAUUAUGGGCUAAUGGGCUAACGAAUUACAACACGUGUACUAAUAGGCCUUUUCACAAUAAGCUAUGGAAUGUCUGCAUGACACAGUAAUUAGUUUUCCUUUAACUGGGUGAAGUUUUACUAUCACUGCAAUGUCGUUCAGUUAGUACUAAGGAUGCCAAAAGAAAAUUUGAAGCACCAAAGUGGCUUGUGAAAAAACUCCUUAGCUUACCUGCAUCCAAGAAAGUAGUUUCCGACUUCACAAAGAAAUACUUGAAAAAUAUUGGGUACUCCGUGCCAGAUUCCAGCCAUAAACUGGAUCGAUCCAGUGCUUUGACAUGGAGAGCAAUGCUUUUGACCAAAUUCGGAACAUCUUCAACCGAGAGUGGUUUCGUCACGUCCACCAGUUUGUCAUGACACUCAGUGAGCUAUGUCAUACACAUUACCUAUAGUUAAUACCUUUUCCACAGCAUUCUUCACCUCAAUUUCUUCUUUUCCAGUAAUGAGGGUAACCUGAACCACCUUGAACCAAGGACAUCCCAACGAGAAUACCAAUACGUUUGUAGUGUUCAUCCUGAAUAUGAAACUGGUCACACCACACGUAUACACCACACGUAUCUUUCCCUACUUCUCCCACAAACCAAGUCUAGAAAAUAAAAAGCUAUUAAUGAAACACACACAAUUUACACGGCCGGCACAGUGCACAAAACGUUCCAUUCAUACUUAAGUACUUACCGUUACUCUCUUGAAUGGACUGAAAUUCUUUUUGCGAGUUUCCCACAGUAGGCUCAUAUCUCAGGUUUCAGCAUAUCUACCGUUACUCUCUUGAAUGGACUGAAAUUCUUUUUGCGAGUUUCCCGCAGUAGGCUCAUGCUUGCUGCUGCUUAAUAACAUCAUGUAGGCUUGAUAUAUUUUAGAAAGCAUCUCUCUCACGGCUCAGAGCCAUUGUAAACUCCAUCAGGGCACUUUCAGUUUCAGUAACAUCUUACUGUAGCUGCAUAAUAAUAUCGUCCAAGACUAGCCAUCCAUAAGGCAUGGCAUUUCUUUCAAACAUAAAAAAAAAACAGUGAAUCUGAAUCUACUCACCAAGGAGAGCACAAAUGCGUUGUUCCUGAACUCCUAACUCUUCUUCUUACUGACGAUCUUUACAAAAAUGCAGGUAAAGGUGGCCAUCUAAAUUGUGCAGCUAGCGGCGAAUUGUUCCUUUAUAGUGGCCGCGGUCAGUUGAUUUAAAGCCGCAGCGCUAGUGCUUUAAAUAGAAAUUAAUUCAAACUACUGACACCAUGGUACCAAGACACAAGCAGUAAGCUAGCUAGCUAUAAUUAUGGCUUAUUAAGUGAGAUGAUUAUAUGUGAACUAGACAAAUAAAUUUAUUAUAAUUAUGCAUGUGCUGUAACUGCUCUAGCUGAUAUAUAAAGUCCUUUUGUUUGUCUUCCACUGUACAGGUGGAAAAAAAUUACUUGCAAUUUGAAGAGAGCUGUAUAUCUAUCCAUUAAGCUUACUCACGUAUUAUAAUUAAUUGCAGGAGGGCCUUGAGCAGAGCGUUUCAGAUUUAGAGCCUGAAAAUAAUUUGGUACUUUUGGGCUGGCCAAGGCUGCAUGGUUAUUGAAGCUUCUGUCCCCUUCCAGGCCUAUCCACUUGUAGGGGGGGAAGUUGUGUACAGUACAUUAGGCCACUCCAAAUGAGACUGUAGUUUCCCGUCAGAGACUCUAGUAAAUUAUAAGCGGAUGUAUCAUAAUGACUAUCAAUGAGGUUGCUAAAGCAAGAAGCGCGAGUUGGACGGGAAACUACAGUCUCAUUUGGAGUGGCCUUAGCUAUGAGCCUGUGCCUGUGUGUGUGUGGGGGGGGGGUACAGUUUAUCACUGCUAUCAGAGCUAUAUCCUCCUCCCCCCCAGCUCCUGGUGACGACUGACGGCUAGCCACAGGGAUCACUCGAGACGAUAUUGGCCAGCCCGGGGCCCUCCUUGACAGCUACAUUGUACAUAUCGCAGCCAUCUUACUGACGGCAAGUUGUGUGAAAGGGCAAAUCGUGGACCUGGUGUCACCGUCACCAACCAGCUAUUGUGACGGUGAUGCUACGACAUGCCGGGUUAGUGGGCCUGCAAUCUUUUGGCAGGCCUCACCGUUUUUAGAUGCCGCUGUAGGGUAUCAGACUCAGGACUCACCGCCAGCCACCAACACAUUUGCUGAUGGGGAUAUUUCCAUAUCCCUCAUCAGCAAUAACCCUCUGGCAUCAGAGUUGGUAUUGAGAGGCAUUGACACUGUCAAUAUCACAUGCUCAACACUGGUAUCCAAAUCUAUACAACUGACACGAUCAUCAACACCCACCCCCUGUGGUUAAUGCCACCAUGACAUACACUGGUGGGGCUGUUUUCCAUAUUAGUCCAAAAUUGGUACCUAGGUGGUGUCCUUGGUAGUGUGACAAUUAACCAAAUGACAGUGGUGAGGUUCAACGUAACUGAAAAUUACGUUGAUAUGAACCUCACCCUGUCAGGUAAUGACCACCUUACAGCAGAAGUGAGGGUUGUUUCUAGGUGUGGUCAGGUGUCUGCACCGAGAAACACGAACGACAUUUAUAUCAUAUCAACUCGAUCUCUUGGUGCAGACCCAACAAUGACAGACCUAUACCAGUGAUAACGUUGUCAACGCUCUUUGUUUUGUCUGUUUUGGUUUUGUCUGUUCUGAUGGUCAUUGUGUGCUGGAAAUAUCAAGGCCACUUUAGGCGGACCACUCAUCAUUCAUCGAAUGCUGAAGAACUUCCUACUGAGACUAAACAGUGUAAUUACCUAAUUAGAACGUAAAUAGUAGUCUUAGUCUGUAAUUUUUGGAGAAAUCUAUAUAGCAGUCCUAGUACUUUUUACAUACACCGAGUAUGUAUAUUGAAAUUUUAUUCUGAAAUUUUUAU
This is an RNA transcript of Halichondria panicea, 3224 nucleotides long. RefSeq lists it as uncharacterized. The record is from RefSeq and is a predicted model, not a curated record. The transcript is spliced from 8 exons. Lineage: Eukaryota; Metazoa; Porifera; Demospongiae; Suberitida; Halichondriidae.